GACGAACGCUGGCGGCGUGCUUAACACAUGCAAGUCGAACGAUGAAGUUCCUUCGGGAAUGGAUUAGUGGCGAACGGGUGAGAGACACGUGAGAAACCUGCCUUUCAUUUUGGGAUAACUCCGGGAAACCGGAGCUAACACCGAAUACUCCGUCUCGGCGGCAUCGCUGAGCCGGGAAAAAAUUUUGAUGAAAGAUGGUCUCGCGGCCUAUCAGCUAGUUGAUGAGGUAAUGGCUCACCAAGGCGACGACGGGUAGCCGGCCUGAGAGGGCGACCGGCCACACUGGGACUGAGACACGGCUCAGACUCCUACGGGAGGCAGCAGUGGGGAAUAUUGGGCAAUGGGCGCAAGCCUGACCCAGCGACGCCGCGUGAGGGAUGAAGGCCUUCGGGUUGUAAACCUCUUUCAGUAGGGAAGAAGCGAAAGUGACGGUACCUAAAGAAGAAGCACCGGCUAACUAUGUGCCAGCAGCCGCGGUAA
Molecule: ribosomal RNA, 480 nt
Filed under: uncultured bacterium
Lineage: Bacteria
Description: partial 16S ribosomal RNA
Rfam family: Bacterial small subunit ribosomal RNA
Source: RNAcentral